GAUGAACGCUGGCGGCGUGCCUAGUACAUGCAAGUCGAGCGAACAGACGAGGAGCUUGCUCCUUUGACGUUAGCGGCGGACGGGUGAGUAACACGUGGGUAACCUACCUAUAAGACUGGGAUAACUUCGGGAAACCGGAGCUAAUACCGGAUAAUAUUUCGAACCGCAUGGUUCGAUAGUGAAAGAUGGCUUUGCUAUCACUUAUAGAUGGACCUGCGCCGUAUUAGCUAGUUGGUAAGGUAACGGCUUACCAAGGCAACGAUACGUAGCCGACCUGAGAGGGUGAUCGGCCACACUGGAACUGAGACACGGUCCAGACUCCUACGGGAGGCAGCAGUAGGGAAUCUUCCGCAAUGGGCGAAAGCCUGACGGAGCAACGCCGCGUGAGUGAUGAAGGUCUUCGGAUCGUAAAACUCUGUUAUUAGGGAAGAACAAACGUGUAAGUAACUGUGCACGUCUUGACGGUACCUAAUCAGAAAGCCACGGCUAACUACGUG
This 497-nucleotide ribosomal RNA is filed under the name uncultured bacterium. RNAcentral's name for it is "partial 16S ribosomal RNA". It matches the Rfam family "Bacterial small subunit ribosomal RNA", at positions 28 to 507 of the family's 1533-position model. The record is from RNAcentral.